UAACGAGGAUUCCCCUAGUAACUGCGAGUGAAGCGGGAAGAGCUCAAAUUUGUAAUCUGGCGGUCUGCGGCCGUCCGAGUUGUAAUCUGUAGAGGCGUCGUCCGCGUCGGCCCGUGCACAAGUCUCCUGGAAUGGAGCGUCAUAGAGGGUGAGAAUCCCGUCCAUGGCACGGACCACCGACGCUCUGUGAAGUGCCCUCGAAGAGUCGCGUUGUUUGAGAAUGCAGCGCAAAAUGGGUGGUAAAUUCCAUCUAAGGCUAAAUAUUGGCGAGAGACCGAUAGCGAACAAGUACCGUGAGGGAAAGAUGAAAAGCACUUUGGAAAGAGAGUUAAACAGUACGUGAAAUUGUCGAAAGGGAAACGCUUGGAGUCAGUCGUGUCCUGAGGCACUCAGCCUUGCUUCGGCAUCGUGUACUUGCCUUGGGACGGGUCAACAUCGAUUUCGGCCGGCGGAUAAGGGUGAGGGGAAUGUGGCAUCGUUUCGGCGAUGUGUUAUAGCCUCGCAUCGGAUAUGCUGGCUGGGAUUGAGGACCGCAGCACGCCCUUGUGGCCGGGGGUUCGCCCCACGUAACGUGCUUAGGAUGUUGGCAUAAUGGCUCUAAGCGACCCGUCUUGAAACACGGACCAAGGAGUCUAACAUGCUUGCGAGUGUUCGGGUGGGAAACCCUUGCGCGUAAUGAAAGUGAGAGUUGGGAGCCUCCACGAGGGGGGUGCACCGACGCCCGGCCCUGACGUUCUCUGACGGUGCUGCGGUAGAGCAAGUGUGUUGGGACCCGAAAGAUGGUGAACUAUGCCUGAAUAGGGCGAAGCCAGAGGAAACUCUGGUGGAGGCUCGUAGCGAUUCUGACGUGCAAAUCGAUCGUCGAAUUUGGG
This 872-nucleotide ribosomal RNA is filed under the name Phylloporia sp. MUCL/FG-11-462. RNAcentral's name for it is "eukaryotic LSU rRNA". It matches the Rfam family "Eukaryotic large subunit ribosomal RNA", at positions 66 to 915 of the family's 3401-position model. Lineage: Eukaryota; Fungi; Basidiomycota; Agaricomycetes; Hymenochaetales; Hymenochaetaceae. The record is from RNAcentral. RNAcentral also lists the same sequence under 2 other names.